RNAcentral lists this long non-coding RNA (704 nucleotides) under Marmota monax (woodchuck). Lineage: Eukaryota; Metazoa; Chordata; Mammalia; Rodentia; Sciuridae. The record is from RNAcentral.
CCAUCAAAUGAAUUGAUUCACUGAAAAGAUUACAGCUCUUAUGAUCCAAUCCUUGCCUAAAACUUUACUUCUGAACCUUACUGAAAUGGGAACCAGGCUUUUGACAUAUAGUAUUUGGGAGCACAUUCUAGAUCCAAAUCAUAAGAGGUUAUUAAUUAUGGUUGCUGUCAUUAAAUUUCACAUUUUAUUUCAAUGGCUGCAUAGGACAAUGACAGCUACACCUUAUCAAUUAUAUCUGUCUUGGGUCAUGUGAAAGCAGACUCUGGGAAGUUGACCAUAGGACAGAAAUUUGUGUGCAGGAAAUUUAGUGGGUGUAUUCUCAGAGUUAAACCCUGUCAGGGAGCAAAUAACGCAGAGAUGGGCAAAAGGAGAAUUUGAGAUACAAUGAAUCAUGACAAAAAUCUCAGUCAACCCUGUGGGCGCUUUUGAGCUGGAAGGCCGUGCAGAGUUGUCCUUUCUGGGGACGAAGUACUCAGGCUUUGCUCACUUGAUAAACCAUGGGAUUUGAGUUCCACCCUGAAAGGGGAAGGGCUUUAGAUGAGACAGAUUUCUUCAGCUGAGGAGAAUCACUGGGAGGAAGAAUUCAACUGCAAAGUGUCAACUGCCACCACUCCUAGCAAGUGAAGAAAUGUGUCGGUCUUAGAAUGGGAGAACACAAAUUCCAUGCCACUGUGCCUGCUCCUAUCCCCCAGCUCCAAUACCAC